RNAcentral lists this microRNA (24 nucleotides) under Glycine max (soybean). RNAcentral describes it as "gma-miR4364a". Lineage: Eukaryota; Viridiplantae; Streptophyta; Magnoliopsida; Fabales; Fabaceae. The record is from miRBase by way of RNAcentral.
CGCGAGAUCGCACGGAAGAAGGUU